This 1117-nucleotide ribosomal RNA is filed under the name uncultured bacterium. RNAcentral describes it as "bacterial SSU rRNA". It matches the Rfam family "Bacterial small subunit ribosomal RNA", at positions 29 to 1158 of the family's 1533-position model. The record is from RNAcentral.
ACGAACGCUGGCGGCGUGCUUAACACAUGCAAGUCGAACGGUGACGGCAGAGCUUGCUCUGCCUGAUCAGUGGCGAACGGGCGAGUAACACGUGAGUAACCUGCCCCUCACUUCGGGAUAACCUCGGGAAAUCGUGGCUAAUACCGGAUACGAGACCUGACUGCAUGGUCGGGUCUGGAAAGAUUUAUCGGUGGGGGAUGGACUCGCGGCCUAUCAGCUUGUUGGUGAGGUAACGGCUCACCAAGGCGACGACGGGUAGCCGGCCUGAGAGGGCGACCGGCCACACUGGGACUGAGAUGCGGCCCAGACUCCUACGGGAGGCAGCAGUGGGGAAUAUUGCACAAUGGGCGAAAGCCUGAUGCAGCUACGCCGCGUGAGGGAUGAAGGCCUUCGGGUUGUUAGCCUCUUUCACCUGGGAAGAAGCGAAAGUGACGGUACCUACAGAAGAAGCGCCGGCUAACUACGUGCCAGCAGCCGCGGUAAUACGUAGGGCACAAGCGUUGUCCGGAAUUAUUGGGCGUAAAGAGCUCGUAGGCGGUUUGUCGCGUCUGGUGUGAAAACCCAAGGCUCAACCUUGGGCUUGCAUCGGGUACGGGCAGACUAGAGUGCGGUAGGGGUGACUGGAAUUCCUGGUGUAGCGGUGGGAUGCGCAGAUAUCAGGAGGAACACCGAUGGCGAAGGCAGGUCACUGGGCCGCAACUGACGCUGAGGAGCGAAAGCAUGGGUAGCGAACAGGAUUAGAUACCCUGGUAGUCCAUGCCAUAAACGUUGGGCACUAGGUGUGGGGCUCAUUCCACGAGUUCCGUGCCGCAGCAAACGCAUUAAGUGCCCCGCCUGGGGAGUACGGCCGCAAGGCUAAAACUCAAAGGAAUUGACGGGGGCCCGCACAAGCGGCGGAGCAUGCGGAUUAAUUCGAUGCAACGCGAAGAACCUUACCAAGGCUUGACAUAUACCGGAAUCAUGCAGAGAUGUGUGCGUCUUCGGACUGGUGUACAGGUGGUGCAUGGUUGUCGUCAGCUCGUGUCGUGAGAUGUUGGGUUAAGUCCCGCAACGAGCGCAACCCUCGUCCUAUGUUGCCAGCGCGUUAAAGCGGGGACUCAUAGGAGACUGCCGGGGU